RNAcentral lists this transfer RNA (78 nucleotides) under Synergistales bacterium. Its description in RNAcentral is "tRNA-Trp". It matches the Rfam family "tRNA". From Rfam's summary of the family: Transfer RNA (tRNA) molecules are approximately 80 nucleotides in length. Lineage: Bacteria; Thermotogati; Synergistota; Synergistia; Synergistales. The record is from RNAcentral.
AGGUCUGUAGCUCCUAAUUGGUAGAGCACCGCACUCCAAAUGCGGGGGUUGAGGGUUCGAAUCCUUCCAGGCCUGCCA